GUAUUAUCAAUUUUAAAGAUGUGCAAAGGCAUUGAAAUGGAAGAGGCCAGUGAAAGCAUUAUGUGACCACUUGUCACCAUGGCACAGAGCAGGGAUAAUGAAAAUGGUACCUUCAGAUACUGCCGGACUAAAACUCCCAUCAGUCCUUGCCAACACUACAUUCCCUGCACUUGUGAUUGCCUGCAACUAGUAUAUAGCGGGUGGCACUGUAGUCUAAACCACUGCGCCUCUGGGCUUGCCAAUCAGAAGGUCAGCAGUUUGAACCCCCACGACGGGGUGAGCUCCUGUUGCCUGGUCCCUGCUCCUGCCAACCUAGCAAUUCGAAAGCACGUCAGAGUGCAAGUAGAUAAAUAGGUACUGCUCCGGCGGGAAGGUAAACGGCAUUUCCGUGCACUGCUCUGGUUUUGCCAGAAGCGGCUUAGUCAUGCUGGCCACAUGACCCGGAAAAACUGCGGACAAACAUCUGGCUCCCUCGGCCAGUAAAGUGAGAUGAGCGCCGCAACCCCAGAGUCGUCCGCGACUGGACUUAACUGUCAGGGGUCCCUUUACCUUUAGUAUAUAGCUGUCUAUCAUCUGUUUCAACACAGUGGACUAACUGGAUAAGAUUGUAAAAAGGUUUGGACUUUGGUGGGGAGCAUCACUGCAAUCACACCCAGCUCUCUUCUUCCCAUCCAUGCCAGGUUCUGUGGUAUCUGCAUUUGCUCAGUGGCAAAGCAGACUCCGCAGCCGCCUCCCUUACAGUGACAAAGGGUUGCACGAUUGUUUCGCUGGCUUCUUCAUUUCAAUGUAGUCUUUGUGUUGCACUCUUUAGCUUUCAUUGUGUGGGUGUGGCAUGCCUCAGGACAUUUUCUCUGCUUCUCAAAGAGGUAAUCUUUUUAGUAAGAGGGGAAAUGUUAGAGGGGACAAAACCCAAGCAGCUGCUAUAGGAUAAUUGCUUUAUUAGGAGAAGCUUUAAAAAAACCACCUUGCCAAACAGUUCUAGUUAAUGUAGUCCAAAACGUCUCAAGGGCAGGAUGGCAAACACUGGGUUAAAGCGUCAAGACCAUGGGUAGGCAAACUAAGGCCUGGGGGCCGGAUCCAGCCCAAUCGCCUUCUAAAUCCGGCCCAGGGACGGUCCAGGAAUCAGCGUGUUUUUACAUGAGUAGAAUGUGUCCUUUUAUUUAAAAUGCAUCUCUGGGUUAUUUGUCGGGCAGAGGAAUUUGUUCAUUUUUUUCUUCUUCAAAAUAUAGUCCGCCCCCCCCAAGGUCUGAGGGACAGUGGACCGUCCCCCUGCUGAAAAAGUUUGCUGACCCCUGGUCAAGAGUGUACAGAGGAGCAGCUGUAUUAGUCUGUUAAAACAAAUGCCCUUGCUUAGGGAAUCUUAAAUAGCUCAGGUCGGCGGUUCCCAAACUAAUCUACAGCAUCUUGGAAGAGGUGUAACAUCAUGGGAGGGGUGUUUCCAGGUACCCCAGGGACAGUGAGCAACAUCACAAGGGUAGGGGUUUCUGGGACCAAGGCAAAAGUCUCGCUCUCUCGUUUUUGCUCUUGAAUGUUGUUAACGUAAUCUUGUUUUAUAUACUGAAAUACCGUUGGUUGGUUUUUUGUAUGCUGUCAAUAUUUGCUAUUGAGCUGUUGUUUUAUUGUGCAUUCCUCUUUUCUUUGUUGUAUGCCGCUUUGAGCAUAUUUUUGGGUGGAAAAGCAGCCUACAAGUAAUGAAUGAGCAAGCAUGCCUGUAGAAGAAAGAUUACAAAUCAUACAAUAUCAAGCACAGCACACUGCAAUUGCUACAACAGGCAGUAAAAUCAUUAAGUGGUCUAUCAAGAUCCUCUGCAAUUGUCAAGGGGUCCAUGGGUUUGGGAACCAAUGGCCUAAGUUUUCAUGUACCAUACUAAAGCGCAUGUAAGAUACACGGAGUAAAAUCUUAAUUGGCAGCUCUAUAAAGAAGAAAAUUGUAAGAGGUGGGAGCAAACUAGUCAGUGACAAUCAGCUUAAAAGCUUAAAGAGAGCACACCCUUUUCACAGGUUGGUGAUAAUUCCCUGAGCGUUGCCAGGAUGAUUGCAUUAUCACCUGUAGUGGGAAGGGAGCCAUAAGCACAAAACAACUGUAGAUGGCAGAGAUAUCCUGGCAUUGAUAAGCUAAUUAAGACAUGUACAGUGGUUUACGAACUUAAUCCGUUCUGGGAAGUCCGUUCUUAAACUAAAGCGUGCUUUCCCAUAGCAGCGGGGGACUCAAUUUACAAAUGAACACACUCAACAGGAAGUGAAACGUUCUUUUUCCAAGGCAAAAUUCACAAACCAAAAUACCUACUUCUGGGUUUGCAGUGUUCUUAAUCCAAGUUGUUCAUAAACUAAGCUGUUCUUAAACCAAAGUACCACUGUAGUGGGUGAAAAAAUAAAAUAAAUCCUGUCUCAAUUUAACCCACAAGUGAUGGCACUGAACUUCUUGUUCUGGAAUGGCGAGCAGGACUCGAGUACACCAAAGAUUGAAGAGGAUGUAAGAUGUGAUUUAGCAGUCUGCAAAUGGCAGACUUUUUCGUCAUGCCGGAAAGCAUAUUUGCAUUUUGUUCACCCAGCCCUUUUAAAUAGCUUAGGUAGUUUUCAAAAAGCGGAGCAGCACGAAGAGUUCCAUUUUGUUGUGUGCCUGUAGUUUUUCCCCUUUUAUGGUUUACUUUGCUUCUAACUUAUUUAUUGUAAGCCACCAAGGGAACAAAUGUCAAAUAAAUGGCUGAACACUCACUUCAAAGAAGCAUUUGUGGGAGUCUGGAAGAGCGAUCUUUGCUCUGUGAAUUGCAAUGUAACGAGUUCCACUGAGUUCAAUGGGAUUUUCUCUGCUAAAUAUGUAUAGCUUUGCACCCACAGACUUUUUAAGGCAGGGAAAUAAGCAAUGUCCCCCCACCAACUCUUCCUAUAUCCACAGAUCUGCUCACCCAUCUGGCAUUCAGACCCCGGGGAGUUCAACCCAGCCAGCUGGACAUUGAAUGGGGAGAGUUCUAAAUCCAGGCACAGGUCCACAUGGAGAUCUCUGGAUGCUAGGUUGGCGGCGGACAUCUCCAUCUGGCUGACCCUCCGGAUUUCUUAAGCAGGUAAGCAGAAGAGCGUCUUCACUGCAUUUAUAUCCCACGGAGUACAUGGUUUCCCCCAUCCCAGUUAAUUCCUACAGUGACCCUUUGAGGUAGGUUCAGAGGCUGUGACCGACUCCAAGGUCACCCACUGAGCUUCAUGAUUGAGUGGGGAUUUGAACCCUGAUCUCCCAGGUCCUAGUCUAACACUCUACCCACAUCACCACACUGGCUUCCUGGAGUAUUUCUGCUAUGGGGCAUAUAUAUAAAUAGGUACAUAAUUAUGGGAAAAGCAAAACGUCACUUAGAGAAGGCUCUAAAAUACUUUCCUUGAAGCCUGAAUUUGCUUUAUUCUGGAUUGUUUUGUUUGAUGUUUUAAUGUGUUGUAAACCGCUUGGAGAUUUUUUUCUCUUUAAAACAUAAAGCAGUAUAGAAAUGAAAUUAAUAUUAACAAUAAUACAGUGGUACCUCGGGUUAAGUACUUAAUUUGUUCCGGAGGUCUGUUCUUAACCAGAAACUGUUCUUAACCUGAAGCACCAGUUUAGCUAAUGGGGCCUCCUGCUUCUGCCACGCCGCCGGAGCACGAUUUCUGUUCUCAUCCUGAAGCAAAGUUCUUAACCUGAAGCACUAUUUCUGGGUUGGCAGUCUGUAACCUGAAGCGUAUGUAACCUGAGGUACCACUGUAAAUCCCAUUGGGGGGGAAAUGGUGCCUAGACAUGUUGUUGCGCUAAUUGUAACCUAGGUUUAAGGUGCCAUUUGACAAUGGGCUUAUAUGAGUUUCUAACCCUGGUCUAGACGUAACUGACACUUCGGUCCUCCCUCAAAAGCCACCUACGAACAGAGGAUCAAUGAAGCCAUGUGGGAAGGCUUUUAUCCACUAGAGCAGGCAUUAGAACGUACGACUUUUCGACAGGAGGCAUUCCAGAACUGCUUUGCUUGCUCUGGAACAGCCUUGACCAACAUGUUAAAAAAAGAUACCUGUACCCCUUUUCCCCAGGGCGCAUGCCUACAGGCUGGGGGAUCUUUGGCCCUUGUUUUAGCCGGCAGCGAAUUAGAUGGUCUGACUUAGCAAAAGGCAGAUUUGUCUCUCCUCGUGACAAGCAGCAUCCCUAGAGUAGAAGCUCGCUACUUCAAUGUACAGUGGUGCCCCGCAAGACGAAUGCCUCGCAAGACAAAAAACUCGCUAGACAAAAGGGUUUUGCGUUUUUUGAGCUGCUUCGCAAGACGAAUUUCCCUAUGGGCUUGCUUCGCAAGACGAAAAACGAAAAUGUCUUGCAAGUUUGUUUCCUUUUUUCUUAACACCGUUAAUACAGUUGCGACUUGACUUCGAGGAGCAACUCAUAGAACGUGGUGUGGUAGCCUUUUUUGAGGUUUUUGAAGACUUUGGUGAUUUUUGAAGCUUUUCCAAAACUUCUUUUAAACUUUUAAAACUUUUUUGAGGGUUUUUGGAUUUUGGGUUGGGGUGUUUGGAAUUCAAGGACUUGGUGUUGGGGAGGGGUUUGCAAGAAUCUGGAAGCUUGUGUGGUUUUUUUCUGCAUUUUUAUGAUUUUCUGUGACCAUUGGGCCACUCUGCUGUUUUUUAAAAAAAAUUCUGGAUUUGAAUUUCUGUGUGGUGGGUGGCUGGGGGAACAGCUGAGGAGGGGUUUUCAAGAAUCUGGAAGCUUGUGUGGUUUUUUUCUGCAUUUU
Molecule: long non-coding RNA, 4724 nt
Filed under: Podarcis lilfordi (Lilford's wall lizard)
Lineage: Eukaryota; Metazoa; Chordata; Lepidosauria; Squamata; Lacertidae
Source: RNAcentral